Molecule: ribosomal RNA, 250 nt
Filed under: uncultured bacterium
Lineage: Bacteria
Description: partial 16S ribosomal RNA
Rfam family: Bacterial small subunit ribosomal RNA
Source: RNAcentral
UACGUAGGUGGCAAGCGUUAAUCGGAGUUACUGGGCGUAAAGGGCGCGUAGGCGGAUAUUUAAGUCGGAUGUGAAAUCCCUGGGCUUAACCUAGGAAUUGCAUUCGAUACUGAAUCUCUAGAGUAUGGUAGGGGAAAGUGGAAUUCUCGGUGUAGUGGUAAAAUACGUAGAUAUCGAGAAGAACACCGGUGGCGAAGGCGGCUUUCUGGACCAAUACUGACGCUGAGGCGCGAAAGCGUGGGGAGCAAAC